UACGGGGGGGCAAGCGUUGUUCGGAAUUACUGGGCGUAAAGGGCUCGUAGGCGGCCAACUAAGUCAGACGUGAAAUCCCUCGGCUUAACCGGGAACUGCGUCUGAUACUGGAUGGCUUGAGAUUGGGAGAGGGAUGCGGAAUUCCUGGUGUAGCGGUGAAAUGCGCAGAUAUCAGGAAGAACACCCGUGGCUAAGGCGGCUCUCUAGUACGGUACUGACGCUGAGACGCGAAAGCGUGGGGAGCGAACAGG
RNAcentral lists this ribosomal RNA (251 nucleotides) under uncultured bacterium. RNAcentral's name for it is "partial 16S ribosomal RNA". It matches the Rfam family "Bacterial small subunit ribosomal RNA", at positions 524 to 776 of the family's 1533-position model. The record is from RNAcentral.